RNAcentral lists this transfer RNA (73 nucleotides) under Candidatus Gottesmanbacteria bacterium. RNAcentral describes it as "tRNA-Lys". It matches the Rfam family "tRNA". From Rfam's summary of the family: Transfer RNA (tRNA) molecules are approximately 80 nucleotides in length. Their secondary structure includes four short double-helical elements and three loops (D, anti-codon, and T loops). Lineage: Bacteria; Candidatus Gottesmaniibacteriota. The record is from RNAcentral.
GGGCGCAUAGCUCAAUUGGCAGAGCAUCUCCCUCUUAAGGAGACGGUUGGAGGUUCGAUUCCUCCUGCGCUCA